This is a long non-coding RNA of Podarcis raffonei (Aeolian wall lizard), 2434 nucleotides long. RefSeq lists it as uncharacterized. Lineage: Eukaryota; Metazoa; Chordata; Lepidosauria; Squamata; Lacertidae. The record is from RefSeq and is a predicted model, not a curated record. The transcript has 5 exons.
UGAACAAAAAUGUGCCAGGGCUACUUAUUUUAUUGCAUUUUUAUUACAAGUUUACCUCCAAGGAGCCCAAUGUGGCAUAGAUGGUUCUCUCCCUCCUCAUUUACCGUAAUCACCGCAACAACACUGUGAGGUAAGUUAGACAGGCACUGACUGACACCCACCCACCCCCCAGUCACCUAGUGAACUUCAUGGCCAUGUGGGGAUUCAAACUCUGGUCUCCCAAGUCUCAGCCAACACUCUAGCCACUGCACCACACUGCCUCUCCUUUGACCUUGCUAUGGCAUAAAAUCCUGCCUGGACCGUCUCAUGUUUUGGACCUGACCUUCGGAACACUUGCCCCCCAAAAUAAGUUACCUUUGCUUGGAGGAAAAAUACCUGCUACUUUUUCCUCUUUUUAAAGGCAUGCCUUCUCCAAAGUGUACAUGGCUCUUUUAAUAGUGUAAUCUUCUGUUUUGCCCUUGGGAUAUUUCUAAUCUAACAUCCAGGCUUUUAAGACAGAAUUCCCCGUUUGAUCUAGGAUUUGGUUCAGGCCCCUUCAGAACCUGCCGCUCACUCAUCCCUCGAAACCUUUGUGCAACCUCCGUCCCCCGUCCUGCCUGUGUUCCCUUUGAUCUCAGGAGAACCAAAUUUAUUCUGUUUAUAAUUUGCCGGCUUGUUAAAUGCUCCCGUGGCAGUGGUGCGGAGGAGGAAGGCCCCGCUGGAUGACUGGCCCUUUCCAUAAAGGAGAUCUGUAUUUUCGUAUUAAGGCUGGAACUAAAUGAUUUUAGGCGUGAACCCCAGAAUAGAGCACCGGAGACUGUUUUGCAAGGAGCCCAGGGGGAUGAACUAAAUGACCUAAUAGGAUUUCCCCCAUCUUUUACCUUUGAUGCUUCAAAGGGCUCCCUAAGGGUGGGGCCCCCUAUCUGUCCUCUUCUAUUUUCCAUGCAGAAACCUAAGAUCUGCCUGCUUGAUAGCUUCCAAACACUGUGUGCUGUGCAGCGACUUUCUUCCUCUAAUUCUGUCUUCCCCAAAACCAGUGACCUCUGGGAGAUUUGGAGCUGAUGGAAGCUGUAAUGCAGUGGUGUCAUGGACCGGCUGGAUGCAGAGAAGUGGUGGGAGCCACAAGCUGGGGAACCCUCAAGGGAACCCCCAGGGGAAGAAGGCUCUUAGAAUCAGAAUCAAAGAAAAGCCCUCAAUGACUAGGACCCAAAUUAUCUCAGGGCCUUCCUGAUUCCUGGUUCUUCAAUCACUGAGAAUCUCUGGUGGUUCCCAGCACCCCCAGUUUCAUCUAGUCUUCACUCGGGAUGUACCCUUUAGUGUGACAAGCCAAGCCCUGUGGAACUCCCUGCUACUAGAGGGUACGUCUGCCCCCUUGAAAAUCCUGUUUAUCGUUUCUGAAUCUGUUUCUGGAGUAAAGGACGUAAAGUGGAAUAUCGUUCAUCUAUGGCCGACUGCGAUCUGAUGCUAAGAGUCACUAGCAGACCUGGUUACGUUAAAAGACCUGGGUCUAGAGUCAGGCUAGUUACUUAUCCAGACCUCAUGGCGAGUUCUUUUUGCUGAGUUGCUCUUCAGAUGCCCUUAUGUCCAAAGGGGCUCCAAGUGAGCUAACCAACCAGCGGGCCAUUUCCCCUCUUGCAGGAUGGCUUUCUUCUUAAAGAAGAAGAAGAAAAGUUCAUCAAAAGUUUAUCCAGUUAAUUUACAAGAGAGUGUCGCCCAGGACCCUGCUGCCCAAAGAACAUACCAACUCUUGCCAGUGCUGGUGAAGCCUCCUCAAGCAUGUGCAGAGGCCUGGAGGAAGAACCAAGUCCAGCCAGUUGUUUUCCCUGAGUUACUACAGCACCAGGCCAGUACAGUUCAGCGGGUCAGCAGCAGACCAGACGAAAAGCAUUCUGGGCCAGUGUUCCCAGAUGCGUCUUAUGGAGCAAAAGAUACAGUUUUAGUUUGGCAUUUGUGUUCCCUUUUAAUAAGAAUAAUAAGUGCUGGGGAGGCGAGAGAUUCACACUGUGGCCCGAAAUAACAAGGUGGAGCCAGUAGUCUUCCCGGAGCUGGUACAGCGCCAGACCAGCACCCUUCAGCCAGUCAACAGAAGGCCAGACUCCAGGCAGCAGCGGCACUUGCCCCUACUGAAAAAGAAGAGCCCCAAGGAUUCUGGGCCACUGUUCCCAGAACUCUCAGAUGAAAACUUUGGGGAAUUGUUGACGGUAAGAAGAUGCUGGGAGGUAGAACAUUCAGAGAAACUUUGGAGAUGAUGGAUGAAAGGGAAAUUUUAGACACCAUCCUCCAAGACCCCCAUCCACUUCCCCAGGUGUGUGUGAUGCAGGAAGACUUUGAGUGAUGCCUAGAGCAGAUCGAUAAGAGAGGAAACGAAGACAAGAUUUUGGGUAUUUCCCGGUACUUUGAAUAUAUAAGUGUGAUUGUAUAGCCUUGUUUUGAAUAAAGUCAUUCAACUUGUGAA